Molecule: long non-coding RNA, 4218 nt
Organism: Apus apus (common swift)
Lineage: Eukaryota; Metazoa; Chordata; Aves; Apodiformes; Apodidae
Exons: 3
Source: RefSeq, a predicted model, not a curated record
CGGCGCGGAGGAAGGGCGGCUGCCCGCCGCCUCCCGGCCCCGGCGCCCCCGGCCCGGCUCCUCCCCGGGCCCCCCCUGCCGCGACCUGCCCCUAAGGGGGGAGCCGGGGGGAGGAACGAGCCGCUGCCGCCCCCCCAACCCUCCCGUCCGCCGCCAGCCCGGCUCGGAGCUGCGGCAGCCGCCGCGGGGGUACGACGGGACCCCACGGAGGGGAGGAAGCAAGAUCGCAGGCUGCCCCCGGACUGCCCAGCCAGAGCUCCCUGGGGAGAUGUGGCCGCCGGCUCAGCCCACCCUUCGAGCCAACAGAUGCUCUCCCGCCUGCUCCACAGAUGGGCGAGAAAACAACGCUCUGCAUUCAGGGACUGGAGCUCAGCAGGACCAGAUCCCCCCCUCCCCACCCUGUCCCAAAACACCAACCCUCCGUGCCACUCUCCAGAGGCGCCGUGAGCCCCCGGCUCCCCCCGCACCCGCACCCUGCCGGGAUAAAGCCUCGGAGCCGCUUCCCGGGCCUUGGCUGCGCACGGACAGAGCAGCUCAUUUAUCAUCCUGUGCCGCCCCGGCCCUGCGGUUGCUGUUUGCAACAGAGAAGCUGGGAGGGAGAGAAAAUUUCUCAAGUCGGGCCUCGGCAAGAACUGGAAACAUAUGCCCUGGCGGCAACCGCCUCCCCCAGGCCGCGCGGGGAUCCAGGCGAGCCCAGCGCAGGAUUUUCCACCACAGCUCCCGCCAGCGCGCAACCCUCCUGCCCGAGCCGGGGUUUUCGAGCUGCCCAAGAGCUGGGGAUGGUGACAUCUCCGAGCUUGGACCUGUGGGGAUAGCGGGAUGCAAUGCAGCUGGAACGGGAUGCAGCACAGGAUGGCUCCUCUCUCAAGCUGGACGGCCACAAUCCAGGUUUGGGAAGCAGGGAUCCUCACUGCGCACAUCUUAGACCUCCUUGCUGGCUUGUCAUGCAGAAUCGUCCCCUUUGCACAAAGCUGAGCCCCAGGGACAGAUGUCCCUUGCAAGGCAGGGGCUGGACAGGAUCAGGAUGUGGUGCCAGUUGUGCAAGGUGCUGUACAAACAGCCCUGGGCAGUCUCACAGUGCCCUGCUCCCCCCAGCUUGCACCAGGCAGGGGCUCAGGAUGGACCUAUGAGCAGACUGCCUGACGCUGGGGCCAUCCCCAUUUCCAUCCCCAUCUCCACCUCCAUCCCUAUGCCCACAACUCUAUCCCCAUCACCCCGUCCCCAUCUCCAGUCCCACCUCCAUCUCCAGCCCCAGUGCUGUCCCCAUCCCUGUCCCCAUCCCUCGGGCACUGCAGGAUGGUGCCCAGCAGCACCCACUUCCCAGCAUGCCGGCGAGGUCCCAUUGCACCCUCACGAGCAGGCACGUGCUGCAGAUCCUCCCCUCCCAUCCAGCAGGACCGGGAGGUUAAUAUGGAAAUUACCAACUGCUUAUUCCUUCCAGCUGUUGCUGUGAGUCAUCAAGUGCCUUAAAGAGCAUUUCAAACAACACAGUGCCUUCGAGACAGCGUGACUGCUCCCCCAGCCAACCCCUCCGGAUAAUCCUCCGCGGGGUCUGGUGUUUGAAAAGGGAAUAUUUCUUCAAGGAGGCAAUUCCCAGCCGCUCAGGCCGGGGAGGCAGAACAGCCGCUGCCUCUCCGCGCCGCCCGACCAGGUUCCCACCUCCGCCCCUGGGCUCCCGGCCUCCUGCUGGAGAGCAAACCCUGGGCAGCGUGCUGGGCAGCUCAGCCCUGCCAUCAUCCCUCUUCUAAACCCAACAGGGGACACAGAAAUGCCACCACACACACACGAGUGAAAACCAGCACUAUACCACCAAGGGAAACUGAGGCAUGGGACAGUCAGCCUGAGCACCACAGUGUCACCUGCCCGAGGUGAGGUUGACAGGACACGGCUGCAGCCCGCUAGGGCACUGGCCUGGGGGUCAGCAACCUUGAACUUUGCCCUCAACAGCUGUAUUUUCCUCCUCUAGCUUAUUUUCUUUUUUCUGUUUCAAAAAGGCUGAUCUCUGCACUCGGCUGGUGCUGAUUUUUCAGAUGGAAAAGAUAGGGCUGGUUCAUGGAAAUGGUUUGGAUACACUGCUGCUUUAACUUUUCUUUGAAUUUUUUACUUUCUUAAUUGAUUAUUUGUUUGUUUGUUUCUAUUUCUUUUGCUGGAAAAGCCCAGCUGAGCUUUCUCCUGCUUGUAAACUAUUUGCCCCAGUCCUUUGCGUGGCCGUGCAGGUGAGUUGAGGGUACUCCCAGUCAAGAUGGUGCCUGGUGCCAGCAGGAACAUCCAUCCCUGCACAGCUUGGAGCCUGAAAUAUAAGAAGUAUAUAGAUGACCCAAGAAAAGCUGUGUGCAGGUGACAUGGAGCUGUAGGGUGAGUAGAGGGGAAAGGGACACAGCAAUCCUGCACCAAAACCAGAGGUGUGGGCUGGAGCAGGGGCUCUGCAGAGAGGGAGGAUGCAGGGUGGUCCAUCCCUGGAAGGAAAGGAGGGAUGCUGCUGGGCAGGAUGGAGAACAGUGACUCUGGGGGAGAGGAGAGGGCCACCAACAGCCACUGCAGCCCUGCAGGGACACACUGCAGCUCAGCUGGAGCCGCUCAAGCGCUUUGGGAGAUGCUGCAGCAAAGAGGUUGUGACAGCCAGAGGACAAAGCCAUCACUUUGUCCCCCACAAAGCGAGGACAUGCACAGUGCCUGGCCCGGUGGUGGCUGCUGGCUUGGUCCGAGCAGGAGCCCCAGGCCCAGCCUGGAGGUGCACAGAAGUGUGCCCACACGUGUGGGAGCGCAGGGACAGGCGUGGAAGUGAAGCCCCAGCACCCUCAGCCUCUGCUCCAAGUCCCUGCCCGGGCUUCCAGCAGCAGUAACCUCGGAUCGCACCUCCCAGCUCUCACCCCCAGAGGGGCCGGGCACUGAUUAACCCCGUGGCAGCCUGCCCUGAGAGGCAGGAGGGAGCCACGUCCCCUGCAGGGCACAAGGGCCGGGUUGCUGGGGAUUUUGUGGGGUUUUGGUUGGGCUUUUUUUUGAGUUGUUGUGUUUUUUUUUUUCUUUUCCUUUCCAGAACGAGCUGCUCUACAAAUGCCAAGUGCUGAUGCCAAAGGGCCGUGUCAACAAAGAAGAAUGAGUGUGGCUGUUAGAAGCUGCCAUUAAUAAAAGGGCAGGUUGGUAAAUGCAAGCUGGAGCAGAGCAGGGAAUCAAUCAUCCCUUCUGCAGCCAAAGGGUGAGAAGAGAAGCUUCUGUUCUGGAAAGAAUGCUGUUGGCAGGAGGUGGGCAGAAGCCCGUGGCCACCCAGUGGCAGGUGCAGCCCAUGCAGGGUCUGGCCUCACUGUAGUGAGCACCAAGGUGUGGGAAAGAUGCUGGCUGUGCAGGUGACGUGGACACUCAUCCCCACUGCCCUGGGCUCACCUUCCCUGCAUGAUGCUGGAUCCCACCAUCCGUGACAGGCACAUCUCUUUGGACACAGCUGGCACACCUGGGGAAACUGAGGCAAAGGGGCUAAUGUGCAGGAUUGUGGGCCCAGACCUCCCAAAUUCCCAUCACCUUCAGCUCAUCCCUUCCCUGUACGGAGCCCUUCUGCCCCAGUGCCUGUCACAAAAUACCACCAGCCCCCAGAGACCCCCUCCCCAGCCCUCCAUCCUCCCACAUGGGCUAGGAACCACCACCUUUGCUGUCCCCUGUCCAGCCCAUCCAGCUGAAGUGCAACCCUGUGUCCUGCUGAUCCCUUUCCUAACAAAAUGUGGGUUUCCAGCAGGGAUUCACACCCUCCAGCUGCACAGAUGCUCUCAGCAGUCCCUUCCCUGGGGACCUUCCCACCCCUCCAGCCAUGGAGAGUUUAAUGGGUAGCAUGAUCAGACUCAGGAGCACAGGUUAUGAUGAGGACACCAAACCUCUGAACCUGUGCCCAGGUCGUCUCCUGGGCAAACAACAUCACUUUCCCGGGAGGAAUUGUGCCUGCCUGCCUUCCUCCUUCUGCUAAACACAUCCAUCCCAAGGGAUGUGCUUGCUCUGCCAGCUGAGAUGAAGCCUGAACCCAACAGAAAAAAAUGCCUUCAUCCAAGGGGACUCUGCGCAUGCCUGGCCCCAAAUCAGGGUGCACCAGGGAUGGGGUCCCCAUCCCUGACCUCUCCAUUCCUCCCUGCUCCUGCCUCUGCUGUAAAUCAAUGCCAGCACCGUGAACUAAAACCAAGUUUAUCUGAAAGUCUUGUCCAAAAACAUACUAAAAAAAUAUAGCUUCAUCGGAAA